Molecule: ribosomal RNA, 465 nt
Filed under: uncultured Weissella sp.
Lineage: Bacteria; Bacillati; Bacillota; Bacilli; Lactobacillales; Lactobacillaceae
Description: bacterial SSU rRNA
Rfam family: Bacterial small subunit ribosomal RNA
Source: RNAcentral
CCUACGGGAGGCUGCAGUAGGGAAUCUUCCACAAUGGACUAUAGUCUUAUGGAGCAACGCCGCGUGUGUGAUGAAGGGUUUCGGCUUUGAUUUCUCUGUUUUUAGAGAAGAAUGACAUUGAGAAUAACUGUUCAGUGUGUGACGGUAUCUUACCAGAAAGGAACGGCUAAAUACGUGCCAGCAGCCGCGGUAAUACGUAUGUUCCAAGCGUUAUCCGGAUUUAUUGGGCGUAAAGCGAGCGCAGACGGUUAUUUAAGUCCGAAGUGAAAGCCCACAGCUUAACUGUGGAAGUGCUUUGGAAACUGGAUAACUUGAGUGCAGUAGAGGAGAGUGGAACUCCAUGUGAACAAAUGAAAGGACUCAAUCGAGGGAAGAAAAAAAGAAGAGGAGGCGGCACCCUGGACUGUAACUGACGUUGAGGCUCGAAAGUGUGGGUAGCAAACAGGAUUAGAUACCCCAGUAGUC